AACGAACGCUGGCGGCAGGCCUAACACAUGCAAGUCGAGCGAACACUCCGGGCCUAUCCGCGGCCGGGGGUGUCACGCGUGGGGACGUGCCCUUGUCUUCGGAAUACCCCUGGGAAACUGGGAAUAAUACCGGACGAGCCCUAUUGGCGAAAGAUAUAUUGGCGAAGGAUCGGCCAGCGUUGGAUUAGGUAGUUGGUUGGGUAAUCGCCUACCACGCCGCCGAUCCAUAGCUUGGUUGAGAGGAUGAUCAGCCACACUGGGACUGAGACCCGGCCCGGACUCCUACGGGAGGCAGCAGUGGGGAAUCUUAGAAAAUGGGGGGAACGCUGAUCUAGCCAUGCCGCGUGAGCGAUGAAGGCAUUAGGGUUGUAAAGCGCUUUCAGCUGGGAAGAUAAUGACGGUACCAGCAGAAGAAGCCCCGGCUAACUACGUG
RNAcentral lists this ribosomal RNA (433 nucleotides) under uncultured bacterium. Its description in RNAcentral is "partial 16S ribosomal RNA". It matches the Rfam family "Bacterial small subunit ribosomal RNA", at positions 29 to 507 of the family's 1533-position model. The record is from RNAcentral.